UUCACUUGCCCCUGGAAUCGAGCGCGAAAGACAAGACUUUCUUGAGCACGAGGUCACCUUCUCGGAACACACGAGGUUUGACCUUCUUAUCAAAUGCUUUCUUCACUCUCUACUGAUGUAACUGACCAUGACACAUGGCAGUUAAUCUCUUCUUUUCGAUCAGAUUCACUUGGUCGUAACGACUCUGAAUCCAUUCAGCAUCAGUCAACUUGGGACUUUGAGGGUGCUAUUUUUUCUUUUGUU
Molecule: long non-coding RNA, 243 nt
Filed under: Lathyrus oleraceus (garden pea)
Lineage: Eukaryota; Viridiplantae; Streptophyta; Magnoliopsida; Fabales; Fabaceae
Description: Pisum sativum (pea) long non-coding RNA (PSAT_LNC020046)
Source: RNAcentral